UCAUCGACAACACGUGGCAACGAUUUCGUGCGGAGCUUACGUGCGCUCUUGAGCGUUUGCUCAAUACCAUAUGUGCGCGUCGCGCACUGCACCUCCUCGCUGCAUUCUAGUAAGUGCACUCGAUAGCCGGCGGGUGGUUAUUUUCAGACAAACCCCUGAAAAAAAAACACCCUUUCCUCUUGUCUGACUCAUCAACUCUGCCAUUGUCAAAGUUAACCUAUAUCAAUUCGUUAGGGCCAUAUUUAUUUUCGUUUUAAAUAAAAGACUGACGUCUAAAUUACAAAGAGAUUGAGAAUAUUAUUUGCAAGGUUGACUAGAAGAAAAGAAAAACAAGUAAUGAGAAAUCUUGAAAGAAAGAUAAUGAAUUAUUUAAGACUGAAUGUGCAAUAUAAAUUAUGAAAAUACUAAAAGAAAAAGGACAGAAUAUCUAAGAAAAUCAAAGGAAGUUACUGACAAAGACAUAAAUAAUUUGUAUCCAUACAGAUGGAUAGAAAAGACAAAGCCACGAUUGAAACACGGGAGUAGUGUUAAGAAAAUUAUAUCAAGAAAUUGUAACCCCAAAAAAUCGAACAAUUUUCUCAAAAACCUAGAGAGAAGAAAAAUUUAAAGGCCAAAAAUAUUUUACAUGAUUUUUUGUAAACCGGAUAAGCCAAAGUCAUGAUUUGCGGAGACAAAUUAUAUAAAAAGAGAUUUAACCACAUUCGUUAAUAGACUAAGAAGAGCUAAUCAUCAUAACGCGUGGGAGAAUCACUUUGUUAAAAAAACGAUAAUAAAAGAGUGAGAUACAAAGAACAAAGUGAAGGCAAGUUGAUGACUGAGAAUAUAAGAGCGAGAGACGCCUAAUGUGCCUCUUGUGAUUUCUUGCGAAAUCAAUCAAGAGUACUACAAGGGAAUUAAAUGGAGAAGAAACGCCAGUGAAGAAGAGAGGAAUGUGUGUUCACAAAAUUCGCAGUCAGUUGAAGGACACGGUUAAUAAGAUGAUAUAGAAAAAGUUGGGAUCGUGUAUCGAUGUAAAAUAUCACAUUGUUGCUCAAAAUGUAAUUUUAACCUUUCGACUGCCGACAUUUUUUCAUUAAAAACAUGAUAUUUUUUUCGAAAUUUUUAUAUAUAAAUUGUGUUUUUUUCAUUGUGUGGAAUGCCUUAGGUUUUACUUAGCUUCGAUUGAAGCCAGGCCGGCGGGAAACGGAAGUGAAAAUUAUACAAUUUUUACAUUUUGAAAAAAUGGUGUUUCUUAGGGAUUGUUCAUAUCGUUGAUUAUGUUUUUGAUUACGUCUUCGAAUUGCAAAAAUCUUUCAAUAGUAUUAUUGUUAC
This is a long non-coding RNA of Pseudomyrmex gracilis, 1311 nucleotides long. RefSeq lists it as uncharacterized. Lineage: Eukaryota; Metazoa; Arthropoda; Insecta; Hymenoptera; Formicidae. The transcript has 4 exons. The record is from RefSeq and is a predicted model, not a curated record.